Molecule: long non-coding RNA, 2609 nt
Organism: Homo sapiens (human)
Lineage: Eukaryota; Metazoa; Chordata; Mammalia; Primates; Hominidae
Exons: 2
Source: RefSeq, a predicted model, not a curated record
UUCACUCAUCCACCCACCCAUCCCUCCAUCCAUCCAUCCAUCUUCAUCCUCCAUCGACUCACUCAGCUAUCCACUGCCAUUCACUUAGGUAGGCCCUAGCUAGAGGCUGGGGUUACUGAGGCAGCUCAGACCUGCCCCUGCCUUCCCAGAGCCCAGUAUCUUGUUGGAGGCAGACAAGGAAGAGUUGCUAAUGUGCAAUGUAUACGUGGUGACAAGGACGUGAUGAUCACUGCUAAGUGGGGUCUUGGGCUGGCUACAGACAAAUUUCCUGUCCCCCAGUAGAACUUAGAGCAGUUCUUUGCACCAAGGGGCUCUUACCCACAGAUGAUGCAGCUUCUUCAGAUAUGCAAAAACACAAGGGAGCUUGUAAGACUGUCCAUCCCUCUAGGAGGGUCCCUGGGCCUUGGGACCAAGGUCACCUCCCACCGUCUGUUAGGAUGAGAUGCACACUCAUCUGUUAGGUAGGGACAGGUGCAUACUGGUAGAGACAGGUGCACACUGUCUGGCAGCCUGGGAGUCCCCUGUCUAACCACAGGAGAGGCUGCCAGCAGCUCCCUGAUCAGCUUGGUGGGAGGACAUCCUGUGACACCAAGAUACCCUACAGAGAGAGCUGGAGGGACAGAGAACACCCAGGCUGGCGAGCUCCUUUAUCUCUGGGUGAGGUGGUCAUAUGGGCUGGAGAGGACGGGCAGGAGCUCCUUCUGGGGAGGCUAAGGCCACAGAUGCCUUGGUGGUAGCCACUCCCAGUUACCACCAGAGGGCGCCAAAGUGCCGCCCACGCAGCUCAGCCGGCUCAGCUCGCGGAAGGAGCUCUGUGUAGAGUCAUUGGGGCGACCCCUAGGGCCAAGCAAGCCCAUGCCAUCGUUCCAGAGACCCUGGGCCCACCCCGCUGGUGCCAAAUCCAGGCCUUACCACCCUCUGCCCUGUCUUCUCUGGGGAGUGGAGCAAAUGAUGCUGCCUGCCCACGGGUGCCUCUCUCAGUGCUUACAGGGCCCGAGCCCACUUGCUGGGCUGGGUGGGUGGUGGUGUCCGCCCGAUAGAGCUGGAGAAAGGGGUGAGCGUCACUCUCUCUAGGAGGAUGACGCAAUGUGCUCCACAACCUACACCUCCAUUCACUCAUUCAGCCAGGGCAGCGGAGCACCCCGUCGCUGCCAGGCACUGCCGCGGGCACUUACGUGAGGGACAAAACAAAGGCCCCACCUCGUGGAACUCACAGCCCAGGCCAGGAAGCAGUCGGCUUUGUCUGCCAAAGGUCAAAUAUAAUGGCAAAAACCGCAACUACUUUUGCACCAACCUACUUAAAUCCGCUAGGCUGUUGGGCCGUGCUCCCCUUGACUCUGCCUUCAUGGUGGAAAGCAGCUCCGGGUGGGGCUAAGCAGUCUCGUGCGGGGUGUCCCCAUCACAUCGUACUUGUGGACGCUGACGGCGAACCUCGUGUGAUUUUCAUGGGUCGUGAAUAUCAUCCUCCUUUUGAUUUUCAGCUAUUAAACAACAGAAAACCAUUUUUGGCUCUUGAGCUCUAUAAACACAACUAGCGGGUGGGAUCCACCCCGCGGCUGGAGUUUGCAGACCUGGGUCCAGGAAGGAAGGAAGGAGACGGUACACAGUGAACAUCAUCGCGUGAGCCUGCCCUGCUGCCAGUGGGGACACAGCGGACCAAGCAGGGGUGAGGCAGGGGGCAGGCCUGGCACUAAAUGGGGCAGUCGGAGCGGGCCUUGCUGUGAAUGCCAGAUGGAGCAAAGACCUUUCAUUUUAACGGUGCUGACCUCGCUAUCAAAUACCCAAGUUGGAUGUUGCUGCCACAGAUCCUGUGGGCUGAGGCGUGCCCUGGACUCUCACGGGACAGGCGCUGGCAAACCAGGGGAGGGUCUCACAUGAAAGGACCACAGCAGACUCGUCCCUUUGUCAGAGGAAAGAAAUAGAAUACUGUUUGGAUUACAGAUACUAGUAAAAUAUGAUCUUGAAAAAACAUUUGAUAAAUUACAGCAGGAAUUUAUAAUUUAAAAAAAAUCGCCAGGCGUGGUGGCUCACGCCUGUAAUCCCAGCACUUUGGAAGGCUGAGGCAGGUAGAUCACCUGAGGUCAGGAGUUCAAGACCAGCCUGUCCAACAUGAUGAAACCCCGCCUCUAUUUAAAAAAAAAAAUUAGCUGGGCAUGAUUGCGCAUGCCUGUAAUUCCCAGCUACUCAGGAGGCUGAGGCAGGAGAAUCGCUUGAACCUGGGAGGCGGAGGUUGCAGUGAGCCGAGAUCGCACUAUUGCACUCCAGCCUGGGAGACUAGAGCAAAACUCUGUCUAAAAAAAAAGAAAAAUCACAAUUUCUUAGCAACUAGAAAUAAAAGGAAAUUUCUUUCACCUGAUAAAGGGCACAUAUCAGACAUAUGGAAGAAACUUUAUACUUCAUGUUGAAACAUCAGCAGCAGGAACAAGACAAGGAUGCUGACUCAGUGCUACAAUUCAGCACCGUCAUAGAGUCCUAGCCAAUGCAGUAACACAAGAAAAUAAAUAAGAAGGAUAAAAAUUAGCAGGGAGGAGACAAGGGCAGGAACCAUCUCUGUCCUCUUGUUUCCAAUUAAGCAGAUACCUAAUAAAUUUUAUUAAAUUGGAGGAAAA